GAGGGGAGGAAGAGGGAACUUGGAUUGACAUGUAAAACAAGCUUGUUUCUAAUUUAAACUUUAAAAGUGGGGGAAAGAAUCUUAGGACACAGUCCUUGCCACUAGACACCAACUUCUAAAAGAAGAAUUGCCAUCUUGAGUGAGAAACAGCUUCAGAGAUUGUACCUGCAGGUGAGUCCAGAAAGGGUCAUAAGGGCCCCCUAAGAGUCUGUAGGACUGUUCCAAGACAAAGAAGUAGAUUCAGCACACAAGGACCAUAAAAUCUCGGAAUAAUAUCUCCCAUUCACACAGAAAGAGUGGGGGAAGAACAGAGGAGGUGAGAGAUUACUGAGAGAUAGAGGAAUGGAGUACAUGAGAGACAGACAGAGACUGUUCACAUGUUGGCCAGAGUGAACACAAGGACACUGACAUCAAAAAUGUAAAAGCAGGUACAUAGAGAGAACAGGGUUGUUUGUUUGUCCUUGUUUCAUAUUUUUGUUUUAUUAAUAAGUUCUCUUAUUUACUCUUCCCUACACCCUUUCUUACUUCCCCUCCACCAUUUCUACCUCCCUUCUGAACAAAUCCUUCUCAUAUUCAUGACUUCUUGUCUUGUUUUGUGUGCUCCAACAUUUAUCUAGGGCUGUCUCUUUAUGAGCACAGGUUCAGAACUCUCUGUCAGAGUCCAGUGAGAUCACUAAUGAAUACAAAACUGGAUACUAUGACUUCCUUUCUCCAGGAAUUUGUUAGUUGCCAAUAGAACAACAGUAAGUGAUAGGGCCCCAUGAGACCUUUCCCCAUCUAUAGGUGACUGUUAGGAGUGCCCAACAUGUGUGGGCCCAGUGCCAGCAGGUGCCGUUGCUGUUACUUCAAGAUUGCCAUAGCCAUGUCAUUCUUAAAUGAUGACAUUUCAAAUCCCUUCUCCAUAUCUUCCAGCUCUUCCACACCUCACUGCCCAUCUUCCGCAAUGUCCAUCGAGCCUUCAAAGGUUGAUAUAAAUGUCUUGUUUAGGGCUGAGCUUUCAGCCAUCAUUUAUUUUCAGUAUCUUGUGCAUCUAUGGGUCUCUGCAUUCACCUCCACUCACUUCAAGAAGAGGCUUCUCUAUAAGACGGAGAGUAGCCUUUAUCUGUGAUAUAAGCACACAUAUUUAAAAAGCAGUUUGAUACUAUAUUCAGCUAAGCAGCAGUCAGUAUUAGCUCUUUCCUUACACCCCCACACCCCCAAAGGCCAGGGUCUUAAAUAUUCCUUAGUGGGACUAGUUACAUAAUUUACAGAGAACAGUACAAAAUGAAAAUCCAGAGCUCCUUGUUCAAAACUCUAUUAAAAUAAUUUUCAUGACUGCAUCAACAGAGCAUGAAACGCAAAACAGAGAGGACCCCACGUGAUUGCACAAGCCAUAUGCCCAUGAGGCCAAUGCUACUUCCCAGUCAAGUCAGUCAGGAGCCUUCAGAGGAGCAGGGAAACAGCUGUAUUGCUCUCUUUGGGCUGAAUUAUACAUAGCUGAGUGAUACACACUCUAUUAUGUACUAAGUACCAGGUACUGAGUACUAUGUACUUAUAUAUCUUGUAGUAUAUACUGUAGUCUAUGAAGCCUAUAAACUAGCAAGCAGUACUCUUUACUCACAAAUCUAAAAGCAAGGAAGCCUGAGAUCAAGUGCUAUCACAGUUGAGUUCUAAGGAUAAGCCCCUUCUAGGUUGCAGACCACCAACUUCUUCUCUCCUACUCUUAUGUGGUGGAAAGAGUUGUGUUUGUGGGUUUCCUAUAUAAGGACACUAAUCCCAUUCACAGUGGAUUCAACUUCAUGAGUUAAUCACCACGCAAAAGCCCCCAUUUCUAAUAUCACAAUACUGGAGUGAGAAUUUCAAGCCAUAAAUUGGGGGAGAGCAGGUCACAAACAUUCUGUCCAUAACAGCACCCCUCACUUGCUUGCUCCCAAUUCAUAAUCUUUAUCCUAAAAGCAUAAGAAGAUAUAUCUCUUUUAAAUGUGAACAAUAAAAUAUUCAAGACCCAAGUCCUUACAGGAACAUCUGUGAAAAGAGGAAAAGAAUCAAACCGCAUAUCAAGAGAUAACAAAGGCACAGCAGAAAAAUAAGACAAAUGAAAUGGAUUAUGCCAUGAUGCAAAAUGAUGUUAAAAAGAAAAUAAGAAAACCAGACAGUUAUAAAGAGUGACUUAAACCAGUCAUGGCAGAGUUCUGAAAUGCUAUGGCUAACAAGGGGCCAUGAAUGGAGCUUUCAGAUCUUAAAAAAGAAUUAGAAAAUAAAGGGGAAGAAAGUUCCAGAAACAAAGACUCAGACACAAUAGCAAAUAGACCCCAUGUCAAAGCAUGGUGAGGGAAAGAAAGGGUGUGGGAACAUAAUGAAUCAGACAGAAAGAAAAGACUUCUCUAAAAAAGCAGAUUUCAGAAUAUCACUUGACAACAAAACCCACGCCGCUUAGUUCUCUGCUUUAUUUGUUGAAGUUUGAUUAAUCUUAUCCAAAGAGGUUACAGUUAAUUAAUUUUUUUAAAAUGAAGUUUCAAAUACAUAGUCCUGAAACCAAUUUUGUACCCAUAUUCUUCCCAAUUCAUUUGAUAAUUUGAAAACAUUAACAAAAACAUUUUUAAUCUGUUUUUCAAAGGGAACAUCUGUGCGUUAUUGUUCAUGACAGUGGCUUUGUUAUAGUAAAUGAAACAUCUGGAGAGACUUGAUUACUUGUUGACAGAAACUCCAAUGCAAAACAUAGGUGAAUGAUAAUUUAUUCUCACUGGGCUCAAAUGAAUAAGUGUAACCAAUGAGGUCAACAUAAGCUAAUAUGUGGGGGCCACAAAAUUGGGUCUUUAUUUUUCUCAACCAUUCCUUGUGAUGAGCCUGUAUCUGUAGCCAAUUUUGUUUAUCAUCCAACUUUAAAGUACAAGAAUAAAGAUCUUCUAGUUUGUGUUUGUUCUUCUGCAUAUUAAGUGUGGCCCAUUUAGUCUUGUGCUUAGGUUGACACUCUCCUAGCAACAACAGCAACAAAAUAAAUGCCAACAAUCCAGAUCAUUUGAGCCCAUGUUGAUAGCAGUUUUCUUUUAAUGUUGAACUCCAGCUCAUAUGAUUAGUAUUGUUACAGUAACUCCCUGUACCCACAAUUUUGGUUUUGGCAGUUUUGAUCACCAUGAUCCAAAAAUAUUUGGUGGAAAAUUACAUGUUGAGAGAGAGAAUAGAUGCUGAUUUUAUUACAGUGUAUUAUAAUACUCUAUUGUAAUAUCCUUUUAACAUGAUAUAUUGUAAUUCUUCUAUUUUAUUACUAAUUGUUACUGUGACUCUCUCACUGUGCCAAAUUGUCAAAUCAAUUUUAUCAUAGUCUGUAUGUAUAGAAAAAGUUCAUAGUGUAUGUAAUCUUUGAUACAAUGUAUAGUUUCAGGCAUCCACCGGGAUUGAAAAUACAACUCUUGGCCAGGCAGUGGUGGCUCACACCUUUGAUCACAGCACUCAGGAGGCAGAGGCAGGCAGAUCUCUGUGAGUUCAAGGCCAGUCUGGUCUACAAAGUGAGUUCCAGGACAGCCAGGGAUACAGAAAGAAACUCUGUCUCAAAAAAAGCAAAAAAGAAGGACAAGAAAAGAAAAUACAACUCUGAUGGAUAGGAGAGAUGUCAUUAGACAGUAUUGUUAUUUUCCAAAAUAGACAUUGUUGGAACUAUGAAGAUACAUGGCUGAACAAGUGGCUUCUGGGAACUUGCUGGUCAUUCAAACUUUAACAUAAUGUAAUUUCAGGUGAAGGUUCUGACAGAAUUAGACCUGCAUUAUGGAAGUUAAAUCUAAGUGUGGCAGGACACUUAGAUUUAGACAAAGGUUGUUUGUUUAGUUAGAAGGACAAAGGUUGUUUCCUCCUCUAUGAUAGAUAGGAGAGAACAAUCCUGGACAUUAAGGAUUUUAAGAAAGUUUCUUUUGUAAAAAGAAAUGUUUCCUGGAUGGAGACUGCUCCUUAUUCAGUAGGAUAUUUGUUAUAUAUACAUUCAAUGACUGAAACACUUGGAGACAUUUUGUAACCAUGGUGGGGCAAGCACUGUUACCUAGACAACACUUUGAAGAGGGCAGAGUAAGAGGAUGAAAGACCUGAGUCCCUGAUUCUAGGGUGGAUGCACUGAACCAAUCCUGAAACAACCAAUCUCUGGAUUCUUGCUGCAUUAAAUCAGAAAUCUCCUUAAUGUUGGAGCUAUUGUAGUUAGUUAAGUUAAAUGCAUAUAAAAAGCACUAAAAUUAAUACAGCAAGUGAGUGCUCUCAUUUUUAAAUAUUUCAAUAGAAUUAAACCUCAAUUUACUCUUACUGUGCCCCAUAAGAUGUAUGAUAAUAAGCUGUCACUUGAGAAAGUGGCUCCUUGCCAAACAUGAACUACUGCUUGUCAUUAUAUCUUCUUCCUCGUCCAUAAAGUGGGCCUGGUUUCUGGUUUUCUCCUCACUAAGUUGAUGGUGUUUAUGAUGACUAGAAACCUAGCUGAUAUGUGAGAAUAUUUUUUGAUACUUGUUUAUCUAUGUUGUGUGUGCCUGAGUGUAUGUAUGCACAUUAUCGGCAUGCAGAAGCCCGAUGACUUCAGAAGAAGUCAUUAGAUUCUCUAUAACUGGAGUUACAGACUGUUGUAAGUCACCAUGUGGGUGCUGGGAAUCGCACUUGGAUUUUCUGCAAGAACAAGUGCGCUUAACUGCUGAGCCUUCUCUCCAGCACCCCCAACCCUUUCUAGCAGCAUCUUGCCUUGCCAGUGAAUUUGUGUUAUUGGCCACACCCCUUUGGGCCUAGCUUCAGGUGCGGACAUGACUGGAAAGCAGAGAAAAGUAGUAUGGGCCAGCACUCCCUCUUGGGUCACACAGAGCGCAUCAGAAGGGCAGAGUCUGGAUCUUCUGGAGCAGGAAAGCCUCCACAGCUCUUUACUAUUUUCUAUGUAAAUUGUUCCCCAAUAAAACACCCAUUUAUCAUUUAUCCUGGGUCUAGUGAAGUCAUUAAUACCCCUCUUUUAUACCACCACCCCAGAAAAGAUUUCCUAAAUGAAUCUUUUCCAUAUGAGCAUUGCUGUGUUGUAAUUUAUGGGCAUGCUAAAAAAGUAAAGGACUAAGUGAUAGGCAAUUCACCUGCAGAGUCCUUGAGAGGCUGCAUAACAAUCUCAUCAUCACACAUGUGAUCACCACACAUGUAAUAGCCAUUUGACACACUGGUGGGCAUAGAGUGACUCCUGUGCUUUUGUGCUUGUCCCCUACAUUGGACUUGGUUUGAUGGUGACAUCCCAAUGAGAUCAGGGAGCCCAAAGCAGAGGUGAACACUCAGUGAGGUUCCACGCAACCCAGCCCAGAUUUAAAAGCAGUGAACAAUUACAGGAGAACAGAUUAAUAUUUAAUGAAGAUGUAAAUGAGAGUCAAUACUGAGUUGCUUAGUGAAAUCUAUUCCAGCAAGAGAAAACUGCAGUGGUCUUUAGAAGGCAGGGGAAGCAUUUUUCUUAUUAGCCAUUGUCUUUAACUUCUCCCCAGCUAUAGCUGAGGCCUGGGCUCAGAUUCCCCAAGCAGCUGACAGAUGCAGCAAGAGUAAAAUCAAUCUUGUAACCCUCCCAGCCAUUUGAUUCCUAAUUUCCUUCUUUGUAUGCCCUUCUUCACUGUUCAGACUAUGCUCUUGGAAACCAACUGCAUACAGGGUUUCUGACAUCAGACUCACCUAUUGCCAACAUUCUGUCUGUCCCUCUGUCAGCUGAGUGUCUGCAGUGAUGAGAAAGGCACGAUAACUCCAAGGCAAUUCAUCACCUCUGCAACUGAGGGAGAGCUUCUGAGCUCAGUUGUGUCAGAGGAAGCUGCCAAUGCCUCUGUCAGAGCUGGGGAGUGGGGCUGAAGGUGCUGGUCCAUGAAAUCACACAGGAGAAAGGGAGAAGCUGCCAGAAGCAGUAGACCACGGGGUGUAAGUGAAGAAUGAUUGUUGCUGGCAUGGACCACUCAACCCAAAAGGGACCAAGUGAUGCCAUGGGGCUUUCUCUGUGGUCUGUUUACUCCUGAGCAUCCACCCAGCAGAAGCAAUAAUAGUGCUGAGGGCUGGAAGCAAAACAGUUUCCAAUGAAAAGGGUUCACCUAGGCAACAGUCCCUCCUCCCCACCAAAUAGGGAUGGAAAGAUGAGAAGCCGAUGCCAAGGGCUUCUUUUCUGUUUUCCUAUACUGCUCUAGAGGAGAGCAGAUUCUUGAUGAACCAGAGGGACAAGGAUACACUGGACUUCCUAGUGCACUAGUCUACUUCUACUGCCUUCCAGCUGUCUGUGCAAACUGGUGAUGCAUUCUGACGGGGUCUGAAAUCCAUUCCCACAACAAGCAAGCCAAAGUAUGAGCAACAUGAGGCCAAGGCUACUGGAGCCCUUCAGGAGUGAUGUUUGGCCCCAUAUGAUCAUGAUCCUGUUAUGCCCUGUUGCAGAAUCCAACAUUGCCUGUCCCAGCAGCACCAAAGGGGAAUCCCAAGGGCUGAAGCUACAUUGGAGAACACACAUUGUUGUUCAUGUAUCUAUCCCUGCUCCAUAAUGCUCAUGGUGGAGAAGAGUGGUAACAAGGCUGCUCAGUCAUUCUGUCAUCACUUCUGUUGCUGUGCUGUUGGCAAGCUAACUAGCUGGCUUUCUGUCUUGUCCUAUUUUAUUUGUGAAGACUGAUUUUAGGGCCUCCAGAACGCUCAUUCCCCCACACUGAUUUUUUUCUUUCUCAAAACAGACCAGUGAAGGCUCAAGAAAGCUAUGUGUCACAGAAGAUGAAAUGCCCCCACCCAGUGUUAGAAGCAGACACUGCUCUAAGUGUUUCAAACAGAGGGUACCAAUAACAAAAGAAGUCUAGAUGGGGCCUUGGAGAAGGAAAGACCAACAAGAAAACCUGUAAGGCAACACAGAUUGACCACAGCGGGAAGUUCUACUACCUUUAGGUGUCUGUGCUUCUACAUGCUGCUGCAUCCGUACAGUAGCUCUGAAAUCACAAGAAUACGAUGACUGUAGAAGGAAGAAACAGAACUCGAGAUGCUUAUAUCCAUCAUUCUACAUGCAUAUCAACCCUGGAUACCUACAAUGAUCACUCAGUAGGAUAAAGUUAACUCACAUAGGCUACUUCUUAAAAACACAUGGUCUUAUCUUACCAGAGUACGCCUGGCAUGUCCUGUUUUCCCAGUCUCAACAUGGCAUCCUUUUGUGGUGCCUCUUUGCCUACCUUUCCCAGAAUUAUCUUCGUCUCCUAACCCCAUCUAUCUUCCUGCCUCUCCUAGAUAUUGGCCAAACAAUGUUUUAUUCAUCAACCAAUAAGAGAAACAUAUAUACAGAAGGACAUCCCCAUCACACAUAGGCUACUUCUUAACAAUUAUAUUCAAAGGAAACUGUGGUUGGACAUAGAUCUUUGGGAACUGACCGGUAUUUUGACUUUAUAUUCGUCUGUGUUGAGGACUGCGCUUCGAGCAAUCUGAGAGCAACUUGAGUUUCGAAACAGCAAAGUGACCAGAGCAGAUAUUUGCUUCAAAGCCUCCUCUCUUGUGAUGGUGAUGAGCAGGAGAAGCAGACCUGGAGACCAGAAUGUGAGGGCAAGGAGUAUUGGGGAGGUAAUGCCAAGAAGACUGACAGGGGCGAGAAGAGGAGGAAAGCCAGCAUGGUGUGCAACAUUAAGCAAGUUGACACCAUGGGAAACCUACUCAGUUUCAUUGGGAACAGAGAAGAAUGUACCUUAGAAAUACAUCCUACAAGUAUGUGAAGAUAUUCGACAACUUCCAUCAUUGAGUCUUUGACAUUAUUGACAAAACGAUGUACAGAUUAACCAAAGAAAGUCUAAAGACUUUCACAGAUACUGCAAGAGUGAUUAAUUGAAGGUGAACUGGAUACCUGGCCAUAGAUACAGGUGGAGCUAAACAGCACCUGCUAAAACAAUAUCCCUAUUGCUUUGGAAACAGCCAAGGCUCAGUAUACACCAGAUUUGGCUAUUCUAAUGAGGAUUUCAUCAAAACUCCCAACAGUUUUAUUUACUCUUCUCUUCAUUAUCUUAGUGACCACACUACUUCUUUUCACAACCAUAGCGAGGGUGGCAAUCCAGUGUUUUACAUGAACAUGGACUUCCAUCCAUUAUUCAAUUUUAGCAGCAACAUUUAUUGUCAAAUGAUUCAUGAGAACACUGUGUAACUGGGUCAAAGUACAAUGAACUUGGUGGGGAUGGGAAAGGCACAGACUCUUUCCUGCUGCUAAAGAGGAAAUGGGGAAGGGUCAUCAUCUACAUCAAAGUAUUCCAUUGUUUCAGCUACUAUGGAAUCUGGAAUCAAGGACUUUGAUAUUGUCUAUGUAUCCAGACCACUUGGAACGCUUUCCAGCUGCAGCAUUGGGACCUUAAUAAACGAACCAUAUUAUGUUUAUACUUCACUGUUUAAGUAAUGCUAUUUCACUCUGUGUAAAGCCACUUAAAACACCAGUGGAAACACAUGCAUGGACCAUGAAACAACUUUAAAUGGAUAAUCAAUUUUUAUCACAUAUUGGAGGUUAGACUGGUAUAUCUGAGUGAAUUAUGAAAGUCUGUAUGUGAUUCUAGCUGGGAGUGGUUGCAUACCAAAUCUUUGUCUUUGCUACAAAUUGGUCUGUAGUGAGAUAAUUGGGAGAUUCCAAAUCUAACACUUUGUUCUUUAAAAACACAAUAUAUUUUAUUUGGACAUACAUGUGAAGGAUUUUAUUAGGCUUACUAGGACAACCUUAAUUCUUUAGUAUAGCAAUUCUCUCCUAAGAUGGAAGAUAUGUGAUUGACAUAUUUCUAAGGCACUGAAAAGUUAUGAGCAGCAUGAUCAUGAGCUAAACUGUAUGGGGCAUUCUAAAACAUAUGAGACAUGGUUUUAGAAAAAAAAAAGAACAUGAGCAAUGGUGGUACAUGCCUUUAAUCCCAGCACUCAGGAGGCAGAGAGAGGUGAAUCUCUGCAAGUUUGCAGCCAGCCUAGUCUACACAGUAGUGAAUUUCAAGACAGUCAGAGUUACCUAGUAAGACCCUGUCUCAAAAACAAAACAAAAAAAUGAAAAGAAAAAACCACGAGAAACCUGUUUUUGAAACGACUAGUAAGCAUGUGAAACUCAUUAUACCUGAGCACGAUGAAAAGGUGAAUGGAGUCAAGGUAAAUUUGAACCAAUUACUGCAUAACAGAACCUAAAAGUUCAAGGAGAAAUUAGGCAAGUUCAAGUUAAUAUUCAUUAACUAUGGAGGAGUAUUUCAUGGAUGCAAAUUGCCUCAUUCUUACAAAACACUGGCAUCACCUUGGAAGAUAGCAGAGCUUCUUGGGCCACUGACUUGACACAAUAAGUUUUCUUCCAUUAACCAGGGGAUAUUGAAAAUGCCAGAUUACCUUAAAGCCCUGAACUACCAAGAAGCUACCAGCUCUUUCAUCUUCUAUCUUUAAAACAUUUGUUGUCCCCAAAGUGAAUGAUGAAGUGGAGAAGGAACCUUGAAACUGUUACCAUUCCUAUGCUACACACACACAGCACAGUCCCCCCUUUCUCUUUCACACACACACACACACACACACACACACACACACACACACACACACACAUGUGAACUAGCAGUUCCUAAAACACCUUCCAAAAUCAAUAUUAUGCUCUGUUUAUGAGGACCCAGAAUAGUAGAGCUCUAGACCAAACUCGAUUGUUUAAUAAAAUGUCACAUCCAAACACUGAUUCACUGAGUCAGCCUUUUUUCCCUGACUCUAAGACAAACACUAGGUUCAGGAUUAUCAAUCCAACCAACAACUUCUAUUAUCAUUUGGUUUUGUCUUCUAAAACUCAAAAUCCAGUGAAUUUUUACUGAGUGACAGUUCAAGUCAGAUUAUUCCAAUCAAAUUCCCUCCAUUCUAUUUACUAUUUGGCCGUUUGACACUUUCAUAGAGAACCAUGGAUGCAGCACAUGUUCCUAAAACUUAAGCCUGUACAUCAUGACACAUUUAAAUCAAGAGUUCUGAUGCUAUAAAAUAUGACUUUGUGAAUGUGAUCAUUUUAUUCUAUAUUUAUCGAUUUCAUUAAAUCAUGGAUUUUUAAAGUGACAGUCUGACCUGUAACAAAUGGUUAGACAUAUCACAUAUAUUAAUGUUCAACCACUCAUGAGAAAGAACACCCUAACUUUGUUGUAGGACUUCAUUCACACAGACUUUUUCUAACCUCCGAUAUUUUUCCAUAUGUUCAUAAUCCUUUUAGACCCUAUUUCUAUAACUUCUGCCCUCUCCUUUGUGGUUAGCAAUUAAAACCAGCAAACAAUUAGCAUUGUAAAGUCUUUUACGUUCUUGCAUCAGUUCUUACAUUCUCACUCUAAUCUACUAAGAUGGCUCAGUGGCAAACAAUAACACAUGAAUAAAUUCAUUCUUUUGUUCAAAAUCACUAAUUAUCUAAAUGUCUUAUGGUACAGGGAUAGUUGAAGAAAGGUUACAAAUAUUUUAAGCUAUAAUUAGACUGGGAAGCAAAACAUAUAGCACAAUCAUAAAAUUGUAAAAUAUAAUACUAAUAAGAAAAAUAGCAUAAUUUGCACACACAAAUGUAGUAAGGGCACAGAUGAAAUUUCUGUUUCAAGUAAGAAAAAUAAUUUAUAUAUCAUAGUAAUUAGUCCAAUAAAAACAUAUAUUGUAGAUAUAUAUCUAAAUAUGUAGGAAUAUGCACAUACAUGUGUUUAGACAUUCCUAUUUCAGAUUUCAUUAGUAAUCCAGUAUUUUUCUAGUUGUGGUAUCCACUGUCAUUUUAAUUUUUUAAUUCCCUAGUUGGAGUCUGAUAAUAAUAUCCCACGGUAUUAAAAAGUUAUAAAUUAUCAAGAAAUAAAAGAAAAUCCUCCCAAUUAGGGAAAUACCUAAAUGAUCUUUGUCUUUGCCUAAUAUAUAUUAGCAUAAGUAUGAGGCUAAUAUUAUAUAUUAACAUGUGUUUUAUUAUGAUUUUAUAUAUUAUAUAAACCUCAUAUGUAACAGCAGACCAAAACUAAAAAUGCAAAAUUACAGUGUUCUGACCUAAUGUUCUUCAGUCCCAAGUAUCCAAAUCUUGACACACUUAUAACAUUCAUUUGACGAAUAAUAGUAUUUUAGUACACUUGGUAAUGCACAUGUUUUUUAUCUACCAUAAAGAGCUGUGUUUCUUCAAUUGAUUUAUAUACCACCUGGACAAAAUUAUUUUUUAUUAUGGUUUAUUUCAUUUUUCCAGCAUCCUCAACUUUAAAAUACUUGUAAACUGCCAAUGGAACAGUGACAAUGAUGAACAAAGAAUAGCCUUGGUGUUCAAUAUCCAAAGUCCACACUUCUUAAGAGAACUUCCAGUGAUUAAUGCUUUCAAACUAGCAGGGUCAGGUUAAAAAUCAAGCAACAAUCUGUCUUGUACUUCAUCAUACAAAAAAUUCACAGACUGGUUUAAAGUUUCCCCAAAGAGGUAACCAUUUGGGUCUAGAGUUUGCAUAAGGGACUUAUAAAGGAACUUGCCAAACAAUAGAAAAAUGAUCAUUACAUAGUAAUGAGGGGUGUUAAUGAUAUUUUCUAAUCAUAUGACCUCAUUUCCUGAAUUAUACUAUGUCUACAUCCUGAACAAAAAGACACAGAGAGUAUUCUACUCUUUCUAAUUUAAAAAUACUUCUUUAUCAAUUGAAAUGAUAUUCUUCACAUAUCACUCUGUGGAAUAUUGUUUUGAUGACUUCUACUGAAUUUUCUCAGUACUUUUUUGACAUGAAAUUGCAUCAUGUUAAAGCCAACAAUUCACUGAAUGUUUGGGAAACAUCACAAAUGUUUGAGGCUAUGUGCCUAAUGAAUGUAACAUGGACUCAUUUUAUCCCCCUUUAUUGGAAUUGCUUUGAAUUUUAAACAGUUGUUAGCCAUUAACUACACUUUAUACCUAAUUCCGCAUAUGUGUAUAUGUGUUUUAGAUUCCAUGUGUAAAAUUAACUUAUUUGGGAUCAUAUGCAUUUACUGAUUAUUUUUGCAUGGCAACUACUAUUGUUGACUUCCUCAAGAUAGAACAGUUAGUUCUGACCUGAAUGAAACAGAUUAAUUAAACUUCGUAUUCAAAGAUACCUUUGGUGGCUUUCCAAAUCACUCAAGCAAACUUUUGGAGAAUCUUCUCUAAUGAAUCCAUUUCUUUUCCCCUGAUUAGCUUUAAGUCCCACCUAGUCUAACAUUUACAUUGUCAUGAUCUCUUCUUCAAAAUCUGGUAGUAUUAGUUUUUUUUAACAAAUUCUGUAAAGUCAACCAAAAUAAGCAUGCUAAUGACAAAUAUAAGUCAUAACAUGCUUCCUCAAACAUGCAUAUGAGCACACACACAAGAUAGGUAUUUCUUGACUCAAAAACAACAAACCUAUGAGUGUCCUUAUGGUCCCAGCUGAUAUCAGGGAAUAACUUGAGAGGCUGCAAGUCUUAAGUCUUACUUGUGAUGCCAUAAGAGUUUUUGUCAAACUUCCAGUGUCCUUUUAACUCAGAUUGAUUCAUAGUCUUUGAAAAGAGGGGGAAGGGUCAGGUGUUUUAAAUUCCACAAACUGACAUUCCCAUUAAUAAGGUGUAGAUUUACAGAAAAAUUUACAAAGAAACUACAUGUAUAUCUCCCAUACAUCAGUCUACAUGUUCAGAGUCAUGACAUUAAAUUACUCUCUUUAGUGUUUAGGAUAAGGUACAGUGUUUUAAACUGCAUUGCAAAUUAUCCAGUAGAUUAUAAAGCCUUCCAGACAUGUACCACAAAAGUGAAUCAAGUCUCAAUCCCAGAAACAGUAACCGUAUUACCUAUAGCACAAAGUAUGUAUAGCACAUGUAGAAAUGUUUAUCUGGAUAAUCUAAUUAAUUGCUAGAAGCCAGUUCUCAGAAUAUCACCAGCUGGAUCAUGAAAUUGUGCUUGGUGGGUUGCAGUACUUCUCAAGAUACUCAUAACAAAUAGAAGCCCAUUCUCUGUGGACAAGCCUUGGCAAAUAUGCUUUGGAUUUCAAACAGCCAAAAGAAUAGUUCUUAUUCUUCCACUGAACAGUGAAUUUUCUCUACAUUUACAAAGAAUCUCCUACACUUAAAGCUGUGUAGUUUAUGGGGGAAGAGGACAACACACAGCAACCAAGGAGAACACAAAAUCAGAAAGGCCCAAAUGGAAAUGAGAAUUCAGACGCAGCAGAGACAUUGUUUGGCCCAAGAGCUCACGGAUGACUCUGUAAAAAAUUUUUCAGUUUGCUUAUACCUUAAAUGAUGGGUGUGAAUACCUUGGGAGUAGGGAAUGGGCGUUUGGGAACAAAAGUAACAAUACAAGUACAAAAUUAUUGAAUAAUACAGUAUUAUUGGAGCAUGGCAUACAUGAUGGAGCCAGAAAGGAUCACAUAGCUGAGAGCCUACAUAAGGAUCUCAAGAUCAUAGGUUGGAGAAGCAAGUGAGCAAUGGCGACAUAUAAGGUUUUUAUUAUUGUUUUUAAUCUAUUUUAUUAUGGUGAAAUAUAACAGAAAUUCAGGAAAUUACAUCAAUCAUGUUCAGCUAAGGGAAUUAUCAUAAAUGCAUUUAGAAAUAGGAAUAUUACUGGGAAGCCCCCUCCUCAUGUGCCCUCCCAGUCCCAGUGUUAUAAUCUCAAAGGUCACCACUAGACUGAUCUUUGUGAUAAUGAAGCAUGAAUUUCUCAAACAUCAUUUAGUUUUGUUGCUUUAUGAAUUUUGUGGAAGUGCAAUUGUGUAUUAUGAAUUAUCUUGUGCCUGGAUUCUUACAAUGUUGUUUUGUGAGCGUUCCCCGUGUUGUUGUGGAAGCUGUACUUCACCUAUUUUCAUUGCUAUGGAGUGUUCCUUUACACAAAUAAACCAUAUUGAUCCAUGCUGACA
Non-coding RNA from Cricetulus griseus (Chinese hamster), 13736 nucleotides. Lineage: Eukaryota; Metazoa; Chordata; Mammalia; Rodentia; Cricetidae. The record is from RefSeq and is a predicted model, not a curated record.